Molecule: long non-coding RNA, 588 nt
Organism: Cyanistes caeruleus (blue tit)
Lineage: Eukaryota; Metazoa; Chordata; Aves; Passeriformes; Paridae
Source: RefSeq, a predicted model, not a curated record
UAGGGAAGGGCUGAUGGACCUUCCUGUCCUCGCUCCCUCAGCCUGCCCCGCAGUGAGGUGCUCCCUUGUCCUGGCUUGGAGAGAGGGAUGCUCCUCUUUCCCUGCACACUGAAGUCAUGCUGCUUUUGGUGCAGCCUCUCUCAGGAGUACCUGCAGCCUGAGGAUGCCUCAGGAAGGUGGAGAGGACAGUGUCUGCCUGGGGAGGAGUCUAGGUGUGCUGUGUGUGAUUUGGGUGAGGCCUGCGCCUGGCAGGGUUAGGAGCUGAUGGCCACGAGGAGCUGGAGCCAUCUGGGCCCUCACAUCCUCUACCAGAACUCUUGGUCCUUUCAUGGCUGGGAUUGACAGGAGGUGAUCAUGUCGCUACCCAGCCCCUUGCAGAACCUGCAUGGCUCCAUCACCAGGAAGCACUGCUGAGAUGGGGAAAAAUGACUGUUGCCCAAUUGUUCCAGUCUCCACUCCACGGUGAUCAGGAGCAAACCCAGUGAGUGGGGCUGUGCUGGCCUGUGCUGGAAUUGUGUUCCUCGUGCUGGUGCAGGGGGUGGGAUUGGUUGUGGCUCCUUUGGGAAUGGCACACAGCCUGCAGUGGGU